AUGCAACAACACAUCAUCGCGGCUUUCCACGACAGCCCAAUGGGUGGCCACUCCGGCUUCCUAGUGACCUAUCGCUACAUCCGCGGGUUGUUUCCCUGGCCCAAGAUGAAGGCGCAUGUGCAACAGUAUGUGCGGUGCUGCCAGGUUUGUCAACAGGCCAAACCAGACCGCACAACUUCACCAGGGCUAUUAGUGCCAUUGCCAAUCCCCAAGGAGUCGUCGGAUCUCAUCACCAUGGACUUCAUGGACGGAUUGCCGCAAUCGGGUCAACACAAUUGCUUGCUUGUGGUGGUCGGCAAGAGAACUCGGUUUGCCCACUUCCUUCCCCUGGCUCACCCCUAUACAACAGCUAAAGUGGCUAUCCUCUACAUGCAACAACUGUACAAGCUGCACAGUUUUCCCAGGGCUAUUGUAUCUGAUCACGACCCAGUUUUCACGAGCCACUUUUGGCAAGAACUGUUCAAAUAUGCAGGUACAGAAUUGCGCAUGAGCACGGCGAACCACCCGCAGACUGACGGCCAAACCGAGAGGGUGAACCAAUGCAUCGAGACUUAUCUGCGCUGCUUCGUACAAGCGUGCCCGAAGUGA
RNAcentral lists this ribosomal RNA (588 nucleotides) under Triticum aestivum (bread wheat). RNAcentral's name for it is "partial small subunit ribosomal RNA". The record is from RNAcentral. Lineage: Eukaryota; Viridiplantae; Streptophyta; Magnoliopsida; Poales; Poaceae.